GAAAUGCGAUAAGUAGUGUGAAUUGCAGAAUUCAGUGAAUCAUCGAAUCUUUGAACGCACAUUGCGCCCCUUGGUAUUCCAUGGGGCAUGCCUGUUCGAGCGUCAUUUGUACCCUCAAGCUCUGCUUGGUGUUGGGUGAUUGUCCCGUCUCCGCGCGUGGACUCGCCCCAAAGUGAUUGGCAGCCGGCGUACUGGUCCCGGAGCGCAGCACAUGUCGCGCAAACGAGUGCCUUGGUACGGCGGCGUCCAUAAGCCCCUCUCUCACGCUCUUGACCUCGGAUCAGGUAGGGAUACCCGCUGAACUUAAGC
This 309-nucleotide unclassified non-coding RNA is filed under the name plant metagenome. RNAcentral's name for it is "partial contains 5.8S ribosomal RNA, internal transcribed spacer 2, and large subunit ribosomal RNA". The stretch from base 1 to 105 matches the Rfam family "5.8S ribosomal RNA", at positions 50 to 154 of the family's 154-position model. The record is from RNAcentral.